UUUUGGGCGCCAUAUUUUGAUACUCGUGUUCGCAAACUGUGUCUCUGAAUAUUCUCAUUUUUAUGAUCAGAACUUUUAUAAGAACUGAAGUGUUAUAAAGAUUCAGUAAAGAAAGACUCGAGGGGACAGUUGGGUGAUAUUUUUAUCGAUAUUUGACCGUACGGGGAAAAGAUCAAAAGCUGAAACCAUGUCUAGGAAAUGCGAGGUUUGUAUAAACAAGGUAUUUUCUACAAAAGGAAAUUUGGUGAGACAUAAAAGAACGCACAGUGAAGACAAACCUUAUGAAUGUGAUGUUUGUAAGAAGAGAUUUUGUGAUCCAAGUAGUUUUGCCAGACAUAAAAGAACACACACUACAGACAAACCUUAUGAAUGCGAUGUUUGCAACAAAAGAUUUUCGCGGUCACAUGUCUUAACUGUGCAUAAAAGAACACACACUGGAGAGAAACCUUAUGAAUGUGAUGUUUGCAACAAAAGAUUUUCGCGAUCUGACCUGUUAGCGGUUCAUAAAAGAACACACACUGGAGACAAACCUUAUGAAUGUGAUGUUUGCAACAGAAGAUUUUCACACUCAAGCACCUUAGUUAGACACAAAAGAACACACACUGGAGACAAACCUUAUGAAUGUGAUGUUUGCAACAAAAGAUUUUCACACUCAAGCACCUUAGUUACACACAAAAGAACACACACUGGAAACAAACCUUAUGAAUGUGAUGUUUGCAACAAAAGAUUUUCUAAUCCAAGUAGUUUUGCCAGACAUAAAAGAACACACACUGGAGACAAACCUUAUGAAUGUGAUGUUUGCAACAAAAGAUUUUUACACUCAAGCACCUUAGUUACACACAAAAGAACACACACUGGAGACAAACCUUAUGAAUGUGAUGUUUGCAACAAAAGAUAUUCUGAUCCAAGUAGUUUUGCCAGACAUAAAAGAACACACACUACAGACAAACCUUAUCAAUGCGAUGUUUGCAACAAAAAAUUUUCACAGUCAGGCAACUUAGCUAGACAUGAAAGAACACACGCUGGAUACAAACCUUAUGAAUGUGAUGUUUGUAACAAAAGGUUUUUGCAUUCAGGCAGCUUAGGGCUUCAUAAGAGAACACACACUCGAGACAAACCUUAUGAAUGUGAUAUUUGUAAGAAGAAAUUUCCCUGGUCGGCCAUUUAGCUAGGCAUAAGAAAACACAUACUGGAGACAAACCUUAUGAAUGUCACGUUUGCAACAAGAGAUUUUCAGAAUCACGCAAGUUAACCUGGCAUAAAAUAUCAGCACACAAGGUAAAGCAAAGUUUUGAGUGUCCUAAAUGUAUGAAAACAUUCACACUUCAUAGAAAUCUCAAACGUCACUGGAGAGUACAUUUGAGAGAUGGCUUAUUAUUUUGCAACAGUUGUGGCAGGGAAAUUUGUCAAGGACAUGCUAGUUAGAUACUGAGUGAUGAUAAUUUUCUCUGUGACAAAUGCAACAAACAGUUCCCUGAUAAUUGAAAGUUUAUGUCAGCACAAGGCCAAAGACCAUGGUACGUCCUACCAAUGUGAUGUCUGUAAGGAAUUAGAAGCAAGAGAAGCAACUGGUAUUGGUUAUAUCUGUUGUGUCUGUGAUGUCUAGUUUGAAAUUGCCACUCAACUUGAAGAUCAUAUGAGUAUGCAUGACAAUGUGCUGCCCUGCUAGCUAGGCAACAUAAAUUAAAACUAUUUUGGGUAAUACGUUCUUUCUCCAAUUUAUCUUGAAAUUGUUUGGGAUUGUUUGACUUGUUUUGUGAUUGUUUUAAAUUUUUUUAAUUAAAUACAGUAUAAACUGUUCCGUACUGACAAUGAUAUUGAAAUUUUGGUGAUGAUUCAAUCAUGUGUUGAUUGAGGGAUCCAUUUAUCAACUGACAUCAUUUUUGUAAUUAUCUGUUGUUUUUGGUUGGAAAUUUAUUCAUUAAACAAGCCUCCCAGGCUCCCGCUAUAA
Molecule: non-coding RNA, 1951 nt
Organism: Paramuricea clavata
Lineage: Eukaryota; Metazoa; Cnidaria; Anthozoa; Malacalcyonacea; Plexauridae
Source: the annotation of a GenBank genome assembly